This 879-nucleotide long non-coding RNA is filed under the name Exaiptasia diaphana. RNAcentral's name for it is "uncharacterized LOC114574694, transcript variant X1". Lineage: Eukaryota; Metazoa; Cnidaria; Anthozoa; Actiniaria; Aiptasiidae. The record is from RNAcentral.
GUUUCAUGCUUAUGUGACGUGCACUCUACCAUUAUCAGAUAUUAUAGCUGAUACUAUGAUCCUAGCAGUCAAUCAACAAACAUUACUAAACUAUAGUUUGUAAACUGAUGAAUGUCCAUGUUCAGACUUAAACGUCUAGUACAAAAACAGUUUUAAUUUAUUUCUGGAUCCUGGAUGCAACUUUCACAUUUUACAAACAUACCAUAGUACAUUACUUCAUGUGCAUAUGAUGUGGGAUGCCAAAAUAUAAUGUGCUAUGUAUUUCUGAAUGGUCAAUGGUUAAUUUUAAGAUGCCAUUGCAUUGACAUUACUGUAUAUGAAUUUUUUUGUAGGUUUCUGUGUUGUGCUACUUUGAUGUGCUAACAAGUCUAAACGGUGUGGAAAAUGUUCUCUCAAGUCAAGUAUGAAACACGGGUACAUGCUAUAUCCUUCUCACCAGUAUGUGAUACUGGUGGGGGGCUGGAUUAGACGCCGGCCACUCGUCCAUGAGGGAGGAAUCGCAUCAGAAACACGGUGGUGUAAUGGUAAAGACGGCAUAGACUGGAUGUAGUAGCUGGAGACAUGGUAGGAGUAACUGUAGAAGUGACUUUAAAUAAGCUCAAUAAAGUAACUGGAAAUACAAGGUAGGAGUACUUCCUCUGGUUUCAAGUUACUGCACGUGGUACAAAUUAGGUUUUGAAGCUUGUUUACAUUUUUUUAUAAGCUUGCUUCCAUAGUGCAUGUACAUAUUAAAUCUUUGGAUCAUAAUCUAAGUAAGUAUAAUUAUAAUAUGUAAAAGGACUCAAUGCUGUCGAACAUAGAAAUUGGAUGAGGAAAAUUCUGAGGAUCAAAAGUUAAUUGGGCUGUGUAUAGAGUUCUAUUACCUGCAUGUAAAUUAAU